Molecule: ribosomal RNA, 1345 nt
Filed under: uncultured bacterium
Lineage: Bacteria
Description: partial 16S ribosomal RNA
Rfam family: Bacterial small subunit ribosomal RNA
Source: RNAcentral
GACGAACGCUGGCGGCGUGCUUAACACAUGCAAGUCGAACGGAAAGGCCCUGCUUUUGUGGGGUGCUCGAGUGGCGAACGGGUGAGUAACACGUGAGUAACCUGCCCUUGACUUUGGGAUAACUUCAGGAAACUGGGGCUAAUACCGGAUAGGAGCUCCUGCUGCAUGGUGGGGGUUGGAAAGUUUCGGCGGUUGGGGAUGGACUCGCGGCUUAUCAGCUUGUUGGUGGGGUAGUGGCUUACCAAGGCUUUGACGGGUAGCCGGCCUGAGAGGGUGACCGGCCACAUUGGGACUGAGAUACGGCCCAGACUCCUACGGGAGGCAGCAGUGGGGAAUAUUGCACAAUGGGCGGAAGCCUGAUGCAGCAACGCCGCGUGCGGGAUGACGGCCUUCGGGUUGUAAACCGCUUUCGCCUGUGACGAAGCGUGAGUGACGGUAAUGGGUAAAGAAGCACCGGCUAACUACGUGCCAGCAGCCGCGGUGAUACGUAGGGUGCGAGCGUUGUCCGGAUUUAUUGGGCGUAAAGGGCUCGUAGGUGGUUGAUCGCGUCGGAAGUGUAAUCUUGGGGCUUAACCCUGAGCGUGCUUUCGAUACGGGUUGACUUGAGGAAGGUAGGGGAGAAUGGAAUUCCUGGUGGAGCGGUGGAAUGCGCAGAUAUCAGGAGGAACACCAGUGGCGAAGGCGGUUCUCUGAGCCUUUCCUGACGCUGAGGAGCGAAAGCGUGGGGAGCGAACAGGCUUAGAUACCCUGGUAGUCCACGCUGUAAACGGUGGGUACUAGGUGUGGGGUCCAUUCCACGGGUUCCGUGCCGUAGCUAACGCUUUAAGUACCCCGCCUGGGGAGUACGGCCGCAAGGCUAAAACUCAAAGGAAUUGACGGGGCCCCGCACAAGCGGCGGAGCAUGCGGAUUAAUUCGAUGCAACGCGUAGAACCUUACCUGGGUUUGACAUGGAUCGGGAGUGCUCAGAGAUGGGUGUGCCUCUUUUGGGGUCGGUUCACAGGUGGUGCAUGGCUGUCGUCAGCUCGUGUCGUGAGAUGUUGGGUUAAGUCCCGCAACGAGCGCAACCCUUGUUCACUGUUGCCAGCACGUUAUGGUGGGGACUCAGUGGAGACCGCCGGGGUCAACUCGGAGGAAGGUGGGGAUGACGUCAAGUCAUCAUGCCCCUUAUGUCCAGGGCUUCACGCAUGCUACAAUGGCUGGUACAAAGAGUGGCGAGCCUGUGAGGGUGGGCGAACCUCGGAAAGCCGGUCUCUGUUCGGAUUGGGGUCUGCAACUCGACCUCAUGAAUUCCGAAUCGCUAAUAAUCGCAGAUCAGCAACGCUGCGGUGAUACGUUCCCCGGGCU